GUGCCUAGUAGGUAGCUCCUAUACUAAAAUCGGACCCAUACAGAGAAGAUUAGCAUGGGCCCUGAGCAAGGAUGACAUGCAAAUUCGCAUCUUUUU
Molecule: small nuclear RNA, 96 nt
Filed under: Castor canadensis (American beaver)
Lineage: Eukaryota; Metazoa; Chordata; Mammalia; Rodentia; Castoridae
Source: RNAcentral